AACGAACGCUGGCGGCGUGGAUAAGACAUGCAAGUCGAACGAGAAAUAUUUAAGCUUGCUUUGAUAUUUCUAGUGGCGGACGGGUGAGUAACACGUGAGUUACCUGCCCCAAAGUUGAGGAUAGCCCGAGGAAACUCGGAUUAAUACUGAAUGUGAUCGUAAGAUUAAAGAGGCUUCGGCCUUGCUUUGGGAUGGGCUCGCGGCCUAUCAGCUUGUUGGUGAGGUAAGAGCUCACCAAGGCGAUGACGGGUAGCUGGUCUGAGAGGACGACCAGUCACACUGGAACUGAGACACGGUCCAGACACCUACGGGUGGCAGCAGUCGAGAAUCAUUCACAAUGGGGGCAACCCUGAUGGUGCGACGCCGCGUGGAGGACGAAGGCUCUAGGGUCGUAAACUCCUGUCAUCAAGGAGUAAGGGCUUCACCAGGUAAUGGGUGGGGCAUUGAUAGUACUUGAAGAGGAAGGGACGGCUAACUUCG
RNAcentral lists this ribosomal RNA (480 nucleotides) under uncultured Verrucomicrobium sp. RNAcentral's name for it is "bacterial SSU rRNA". It matches the Rfam family "Bacterial small subunit ribosomal RNA", at positions 29 to 505 of the family's 1533-position model. The record is from RNAcentral. Lineage: Bacteria; Pseudomonadati; Verrucomicrobiota; Verrucomicrobiia; Verrucomicrobiales; Verrucomicrobiaceae.